GGGGGGAGGGGGAGAGAGAAAGAAAGAGAGAGAGAAGAGAGAGAGAGAGAGAGAGAGAUCGUCAAUCUGUUGGUUCACUCUCAAAAAUGGCUACAAUAGCCAGAGCUGGGCCAUGUGAAAGCUGGGAGCCAGGAGCUUCCUCUUGGUCUCCCACAAGGGUGCAGGGGCCCAAGCAUUUGGGUCAUCUUCCGCUGCUUUCCCAGGUUCAUUGGCAGAGAGUUGGAUCAGAAGUGGGUUAGCCGGGACCUGAACCAGCAGGUUCAGGUGGGCUACUGCACUACAGCCCUGCCCCCUGAGCUUCCUCCAGGUCUCCCAUGCAGGGUCAGAGGCCCCAGCACUUGGGCCAUCUUGUACUGCUUUCCCAGACCAUAGCAGAGAGCUGGAUCAGAAGAGGAGCAGCCAGGUCUUGAACCGGUGGACAUAUGGGCCAGCACUGAAGGCGGCGGCUUUUCCUGCUGUACCACAGCACCAGCCCAGACUAAAUUCUCUCUUUAAGAAGCAGAGGGAGAUGAUUUGGAGAAAUGGAGGAAAGUUGAAGGCAAAUCUGAUCAGAGGACACACUUUGUUCUUGAAGAAAGGGGUCUCACGUUGGUGUCCAUGCAGACAGAUUUUGACAGGCUAUAAAGAUAAUUUACUCUUGUUUUGACACUUGGAGAAUGCCCUUGAUUCAUUCAAGGCUUUAACACAAUCUUUGAAGGUUGGAUCCCUUGUUUCAGUACCAUGCUGUGCUUCAUGUGAGUAGCAAUUUUGGGUUGAGUUCUUAUACCUUACACCCUGGAAAGAAAAAAAGAGACAAUUUUUUUUUCAGUAAAAAUAUGGUAAUCUACAAAAUGAACAAUUGGAAGUGUUAGGAUGAAACUGAAGUAUGUUCUUUUGUGAUGUGGAGACUUUAUGUGGUCUAAAUCACAAUAUUAACCUUUUAAAAUCCAUUUUAUGAAGAUAUAUAUCUUAUCAAAAAUACGUUGCCUUUUCCUUGGGUGUAAUGUGACUAUUUACAUUUCAGAAACCACAGUUACCUAAUGGGCUUUUGCUAUGUAGGUCUUGUGAAAGAGGAGAAUUUUUGCUAAGGUUAUCCCAAUCUCCUUGCAUUUUUUGAGGAUUAGUAAUUGACUGGUAGGUAAGUAAUACUCAUGGAAAGCUAAGUGCACACUGAAUUUAUAAAGCUAUUGCAUUAAAAAAAAAAAAACAAAACAAAAAAAAAACAAAAAAAAAACACACAGGGGCAGGCGUAGAAUCAAAGGGCUGUUGUGUUUGCUUCCAGGGAUUUGCACCUUAUCAGUAUUAUCAAGGAAGGCACAGGACUGGAAUACCAAAUGACACGUCAAACCCUCAGCUCAGAGGCGGUGUUGGAAAUGAAAAUCCUUGCUUCCUCAGGAAUCUGGGCUCCAGCUCUCCUGUCAUUGCCCUGCACUUUUCCAAAUGUUAAGAAAGUAAAAUUGAAAUAAUAUCCAGUGUCACUGGUGCCCAAGAUAACAAUGUCAAUACAGAAGAAUCACUAUCCACAUAAAGUCUGGCUCCAUAUAUUUUAUGACAAAGUCAGGAGAGCAGAGUAGCUCAGGAAAUAUGACAUAUAACUUUGAUGACAUACUCAAUACUAAGAAAAAUAUAUUACAUAUUCUUAAACUAUUGCAGAGAUGGGGGUUCAGAAUGCUUUUGAAGUACUUAUGGUUGUUGACUGUAAGGUAGUCCAAACAGAUAGAUGGGUUUUCCUACUAAUAAAUGUUUCCUUUUCCUUUUCAGUGGGCAAUGAUGUUGACUCUUAGAUGGCUGAGGAUGUCUGCUUUCUAGAAUGUCAGAUUAUAAUAAUACAAUACUUGUAUCAGACCUUAUAAUUUAUAACAUCAUCACUUCAUCAUCCAUGUAGGAUGGUCUUUAUUGUGUGUGUGAUGCAUUUCAUUCUCUGGUAUGUAAGAACUAAAAGGGAAAUAGAUUAUCUACUGUAGUAUAGUAACCCAUAACCCAUAUCCUACUGUUUUCUGUAAACCAGAUUAUUCAUCCCAUGAAAAUCUCCAGUAUUAGAAACAAUAUAUAAAAUAAGAGGCUAAUCAAUUUGAAUGCAUAAUAAAAUUUUAAUUUCUGAAUGGCAUGACAUAAAAUCCAUGUAGAAUGUUUAGAUGGCAUGAUAUUUCUGAAUGGUUAAAUCUAUCUGUAUCUAUCUAUCAUCUGUCUAUAUCUAUCUAUCUGUUUAUCUAUAUAUCUAACAAUUUCAUUCUCGUAAUGGAACUUUGUUCAUUUAGACAGCUAACCAUUAAUUUUCAUGUUUCAGGGAACCAUAAGACAAAAUAAAGCAGAGAAAACAAAAUAUUUUAAUCCAUGAGUUUAGAUAUUCAGAUGGUCAAUUCAAAGUAAUGCUGAAGGAUCAUGGAACAGAAAGAAAUGCAUCCCGAAGACUAAACAAAUAAAUGAGGAUACUUCAAGGAGUUCGUGGAAAAGUAGAAAGGUUUAUUUUCGGUGUGAAAGUGCUGAAAUCCAAGCAUAGGUUGUAAUAAUGCCCGUUUUCUACAAACUUUCUGAAUAACGCUCAGAAAGAUAGGGUGCUUCUUGGGGAAAGGUGUAUUGGAAGCCGUCAAAUAAUCCCGGGUAGAGCACUGACGUUCAUGGGCAUUUGAGGGCCUGGAUUAUCCGCCUUUCCCUUUGGUUAAAGCACAGACAUCAUCAGGACUUGGAGAAGCACAAGCUGUGAGUGUGUCUUGCAGGGCUAAGCAGUUUUAAGUAGAUCAAUAUGGUUCCCAAAUAACAGAAUUGGCCUGUACAUCUUCUGGCAGCCCCACUAGUAAAUGAGUCACGAACAUGUUUCUAAAAAGGCUGUGAAGUUGAUAAAGGGAAUACUGAAUUCUACCUACAUUUCCUGAUGUUUGUACACCUGAUGGACUGGUGGAGCUAAGGAAUGCUGAAGUCUCUGCUUAGAUGGUCCUACUCCCUGCCCUGGCACAGAGCUUGAAACCUGAUGCAGCCUUGGGGAAAGUUACAAGGCACCCUAAUGUGAUUGGAGUGAUGCUUCUACUGCUGAGCUUAAUGGGGUUGCUAGGUAGAUGGUUUUGGAAAUAUGGAUUUAGGGGAUUCAGGUUCUGGCCUGUUACAGGAACAAGACUGAAGAUUCCCUGACAGCAUGGUAAGGAAGACACAGACAACUCAAAUGGAGCUCCAACAGUGGGGGGAACUGGAGAAAGAGAAAAGCAUCAGGCUGCCCCUCCUGGCCCGAGCCUGGGGCACCUGGGGCAGAAGCCCCAACUACAAUCAAAGUGCAAGUGCACCAUAGCAAUGAGCUUUUUUUAAACUCCCACUUUCAGGGGAAUGGCUAGGGAGGUGACAAGCAUAACUUCACAAAACAAGCUCUGAGUGGAGAAGGUCUCGUGAGAACAUAAAAGAGUUUCCAGGUGCCCAGAGUAUCCCAGAGAAGCAUAGGAUGCACACAGGUGGCAGGGUGAUUUAAGGCAGAACUUUGCUCUGUGGAGUUAAGGGAAAGCAUAGUAAUAUAUUUGAAAACAAACAUACUGGGCUUGACUUGAUGGUUUGCAAAGAGGAAUGAUGUAGCCUAAUUUGUGUGAGGCAUAUGUGAAAGCUCCAAGUGAACACAUCUCAGAGGAUGUUCAAGGGACAGCUAAUGACCCAGGCAAGGUGAACCUUCACACUUGGGCACUUAAUGUUCUUGAUCUAUGAACACGUCCUAGAGGUAAUGAAUGAGAGAAUGAGAUGAUGGUGAAUUGGCUAAGAUUAAGUUCUUCCACAGAUAGGCGUGUGGGCUCUAAAUAGAAAACUGGUUACACUUCUUGAUCACCCAAUGUUAUAGAAUGAGAUUUAUAAUGCUUUUUUAUUUUCAUGUCAUUUUAUUAUUUUCAAUGUGUAUUCUUUUAUUUUGAAUACACACGAGCAGCAGCAGGUGCAGCAAAAAAUAGUUUUUAUUUUAUCCACACUGUUGAAAUGAGGUGUUUAGAAUUAAGACCUACUGAAAUGAGGCAUUUUGAAUAUCUCUGAAAUUAGAGUUUCUAUUCUUUCUUCUGCAAAAUUAUAGGAUAUUCCAGUAGUCUGAAAACCUAUGUGGACAUUAAUGUCGUUUAGAUUUUUCUGAUUUAUGGUUAUUUCUGGUCAAGACAUUUAGGGAAAUAGUACAAUAAUGAAACAGGUAAACAAUGGAAAUCAAUCUUAAUUCUCAUUAUGUGACAUAGAAUAAAUUAUUAUAAUUUUGUUUGAAUUUUUUAUGAAAAAAAUUUUGUUUAUUUGGAAAGCAAGGUGGGUGAGAGAGCUACCAUCUGCUAGUUCAUGCCCUAAAAGGACCAGGAAAAGCCAUGAGUGAGGAACUCAAUCCCAGUCUUGCAUGUGGGUGGCAGGGACCCAAGUUCUUGAGCUCUUACUUGCUGCCUCACAGGAUGCACAUUAGCCGGAAGCUAAACUUAAGAGUAGAGCUCAGCCUGGAACCCAGGGACUCUCACAUGGGAUGCUAGAAUUCUAAACGUUGUGCUAGCCACAACGCCAAACACCUGCCGCCUCUUCCCAAGCUUUUUAAAGCUAUAAACAUGAAUCAUUUUAUCACAAGGAAUGCUAAUUCACCAUUUUGUGCUUUUAAAGCUUUUUUUCUCAAACCAAGGAGAUUUUAUGUAGACCUGAUUAAUAUUAACAUAAUUGUCACAAAAUGAAAUUGAUGCCUUGACAUACCUGUUGUAAAUUUAAAAGGCAGACAAAUGAAGUCAAACAAAAAUAAAUAUUUAUUUAACUGAAGACGUUCACCUGCAGAGGGCCAAAAAAGUUGCCAGUUAUUUAUAAAUAAACAUUUAAUGUUAUUUAUAAGUGAUUCCUAUAAUGUACCUACUAGUUUACAGCAUGCAAUAAUGAAUAAUUUUCAGGAAUUAUUUAAGGUGUUAUUCUAGUAAUCAUUGACGAUCAUGGAUUAUUUUAGAUAAUUUUUGAAAAUCAAUACUUUGCAUAUGUCUGAAUUUCAACUCACUGUUCAUUAUAUGAAUUUUAUUUUCAUGUUCUGAGUUGUCUUUUAACAAAGUCAUAAAUUUUUGUACUGUUGUUCCAGUUAUGCUUUCGUUGAGCUGUGUUUUAAAAAUGCAUGUUCAAAUAAAUUUCCUUCUUUUAAUUGUCCCAUGUAAUGAUGUUUCUAUAAAAGAUACCAUUUUAAAAUGGGCUGCCUAUUACUUCUCUGCCUAAUUUCUUUUCAUUCGGCUUAGCUGACGAGAGCAUAAUUUUGAAUUUCAUGACUACUAGUUGGUUUAUUUCAGUUGGAGGCUAAAUUUACAAGAACGUAUGGAAACUCAAGGAAAUUCACAUCAUUCAAUUACUUGAUUCUCCCAACAGCAGCAAACUCCUCCUGAGAGAGGCUCUGUGCGUAUAAGUGCUAAA
Molecule: non-coding RNA, 5343 nt
Organism: Oryctolagus cuniculus (rabbit)
Lineage: Eukaryota; Metazoa; Chordata; Mammalia; Lagomorpha; Leporidae
Source: RefSeq, a predicted model, not a curated record